GACUGCCGGUGACAAACCGGAGGAAGGUGGGGACGACGUCAAGUCAUCAUGGCCCUUAUGUCCUGGGCUACACACGUGCUACAAUGGCCGGUACAGAGCGCAGCGAAGCCGCGAGGCAAAGCGAAUCGCAAAAAGCCGGUCUCAGUACGGAUUGGAGUCUGAAACCCGACUCCAUGAAGUUGGAAUCGCUAGUAAUCGCGCAUCAGCAUGGCGCGGUGAAUACGUUCCCGGGCCUU
RNAcentral lists this ribosomal RNA (236 nucleotides) under uncultured Spirochaeta sp. Its description in RNAcentral is "partial 16S ribosomal RNA". It matches the Rfam family "Bacterial small subunit ribosomal RNA", at positions 1147 to 1382 of the family's 1533-position model. Lineage: Bacteria; Pseudomonadati; Spirochaetota; Spirochaetia; Spirochaetales; Spirochaetaceae. The record is from RNAcentral.